This 253-nucleotide ribosomal RNA is filed under the name uncultured prokaryote. RNAcentral describes it as "partial 16S ribosomal RNA". It matches the Rfam family "Bacterial small subunit ribosomal RNA", at positions 524 to 776 of the family's 1533-position model. The record is from RNAcentral.
GACAGAGGAGCCAAGCGUUGUCCGGAGUGACUGGGCGUAAAGCGCACGCAGGUGGUUCUGCGCGUGGGGUGUGAAAGCUCUCGGCUCAACUGAGAGAGGCCACCUCAUACGGCAGAGCUCGAGCCCUGCAGAGGUCCACGGAAUUGCCGGUGUAGUGGUGAAAUGCGUAGAGAUCGGCAGGAACACCCAGGGGGAAACCAGUGGACUGGGCAGGCGCUGACACUCAUGUGCGAAAGCGUGGGGAGCGAACCGG